Molecule: transfer RNA, 73 nt
Filed under: Rattus norvegicus (Norway rat)
Lineage: Eukaryota; Metazoa; Chordata; Mammalia; Rodentia; Muridae
Rfam family: tRNA
About the family: Transfer RNA (tRNA) molecules are approximately 80 nucleotides in length. Their secondary structure includes four short double-helical elements and three loops (D, anti-codon, and T loops).
Source: Rfam by way of RNAcentral
GGAGAGAUGGCUCAGUGUUUAAGAGCACUGACUCCUCUCCCAGAGGACCUGGGUUUGAUUCCCAGAAUCUCCA